Molecule: transfer RNA, 82 nt
Filed under: Ornithorhynchus anatinus (platypus)
Lineage: Eukaryota; Metazoa; Chordata; Mammalia; Monotremata; Ornithorhynchidae
Description: tRNA-Ser (TGA) (tRNA-Ser-TGA-3-1)
Rfam family: tRNA
About the family: Transfer RNA (tRNA) molecules are approximately 80 nucleotides in length. Their secondary structure includes four short double-helical elements and three loops (D, anti-codon, and T loops).
Source: Rfam by way of RNAcentral
GUAGUCGUGGCCGAGUGGUUAAGGCGAUGGACUUGAAAUCCAUUGGGGUGUCCCCGCGUAGGUUCGAAUCCUGCCGACUACG